This 470-nucleotide ribosomal RNA is filed under the name uncultured bacterium. Its description in RNAcentral is "partial 16S ribosomal RNA". It matches the Rfam family "Bacterial small subunit ribosomal RNA", at positions 28 to 507 of the family's 1533-position model. The record is from RNAcentral.
GACGAACGCUGGCGGCGUGCUUAACACAUGCAAGUCGAACGGUGAACGAGGGAGCUUGCUCCCUCCGGAUCAGUGGCGAACGGGUGAGUAACACGUGAGCAAUCUGCCCCGAACUCUGGGAUAAGCGUUGGAAACGACGUCUAAUACCGGAUACGACGCGGGAGGGCAUCCUCUCCGCGUGGAAAGAACUUCGGUUCGGGAUGAGCUCGCGGCCUAUCAGCUUGUUGGUGAGGUAACGGCUCACCAAGGCGACGACGGGUAGCCGGCCUGAGAGGGUGACCGGCCACACUGGGACUGAGACACGGCCCAGACUCCUACGGGAGGCAGCAGUGGGGAAUAUUGCACAAUGGGCGCAGGCCUGAUGCAGCAACGCCGCGUGAGGGACGACGGCCUUCGGGUUGUAAACCUCUUUUAGCAGGGAAGAAGCGAAAGUGACGGUACCUGCAGAAAAAGCACCGGCUAACUACGUG